ANCUGUGACACGAGGAUUUUCAGUCCUCUGCUCUACCAGCUGAG
Molecule: transfer RNA, 44 nt
Filed under: Barleria prionitis
Lineage: Eukaryota; Viridiplantae; Streptophyta; Magnoliopsida; Lamiales; Acanthaceae
Description: partial tRNA-Phe
Source: RNAcentral